RNAcentral lists this ribosomal RNA (279 nucleotides) under uncultured bacterium. RNAcentral describes it as "partial 16S ribosomal RNA". It matches the Rfam family "Bacterial small subunit ribosomal RNA", at positions 506 to 784 of the family's 1533-position model. The record is from RNAcentral.
UGCCAGCAGCCGCGGUAAUACUGAAGGUGCAAACGUUGCUCGGAAUCAUUGGGCGUAAAGCGCACGUAGGCGGUCCGGUAAGUCGGAUGUGAAAGCCCUCGGCUCAACCGAGGAAGUGCAUUCGAAACUGCCGGACUUGAGUACGGGAGAGGGUCGCGGAAUUCCCGGUGUAGAGGUGAAAUUCGUAGGUAUCGGGAGGAACACCAGUGGCGAAGGCGGCUCCCUGGCCAAAGACUGACGCUCAUGUGCGAAAGUGUGGGUAGCGAACAGGAUUAGAUA